GAUGAAGAACGUAGCGAAAUGCGAUAAGUAAUGUGAAUUGCAGAAUUCAGUGAAUCAUCGAAUCUUUGAACGCACAUUGCGCCCGCCAGUAUUCUGGCGGGCAUGCCUGUUCGAGCGUCAUUUCAACCAUCAAGCCCCCGGCUUGUGUUGGGGACCUGCGGCUGCCGCAGGCCCUGAAAAGCAGUGGCGGGCUCGCUGUCACACCGAGCGUAGUAGCAUACAUCUCGCUCUGGGCGUGCUGCGGGUUCCGGCCGUUAAACCACCUUCAUAACCCAAGGUUGACCUCGGAUCAGGUAGGAAGACCCUCUGAACUUAAGCAUAUCAAUAAGCGGAGGA
This 336-nucleotide unclassified non-coding RNA is filed under the name soil metagenome. RNAcentral describes it as "partial contains 5.8S ribosomal RNA, internal transcribed spacer 2, and large subunit ribosomal RNA". The stretch from base 1 to 120 matches the Rfam family "5.8S ribosomal RNA", at positions 35 to 154 of the family's 154-position model. The record is from RNAcentral.